Molecule: ribosomal RNA, 398 nt
Filed under: Xyloprista hexacantha
Lineage: Eukaryota; Metazoa; Arthropoda; Insecta; Coleoptera; Bostrichidae
Description: eukaryotic LSU rRNA
Source: RNAcentral
GGUAAMCUGAGAAACCCGAAAGGUCGAAGGGGGAGAUUCAAUCGUGUUUCGAUAUGUAAACGACUAUUGAAUAUGUUUGUGACGUUCUUGUCUGACUAGUAUGCAAUUUGUGUAUUAGAAGGUCAGAACGCAUAUCAUGUUCGUCGAACGUUCGAACGCGUGCACUUCUCCCCUUGUAGGACGUCGCGACCCGUUGGGUGCGGGUCUAAGGGGCUGACAGGGUAGACCCAUAAAUCAUACGUGAGGUUAUGUGUUUGUGGACCUGUUGCUUUCUGGCCCGCUCGCUCGACGGUAGACUUUUAUAAUGGUAUUGGGCCGCGAAUUAUUCGCGUCUGACAUAUGGCGAGCGCGCACGGUUUAACUCAUGUACCGGACCUAGUGCCGGUACUGGGCCCGUU